CUUUGACGUAGAGGCGCGAUAGGAAUUAGUAACUUUUGCUGGGGUGAUACCAAUGAGCAGAAGUGAAAGGUUUUGUCGCCGAAGUGAGUGUGUAUAUUAAAACUACUCGCUGGGGUUGUAUUCGAAUAGGAACAACACUGCCAUAGUCUAUUAUUUUGUUAAACUAUGGAGCGCUACUGUAGGG
This 184-nucleotide non-coding RNA is filed under the name Vibrio aestuarianus. RNAcentral describes it as "Lysine". It matches the Rfam family "Lysine riboswitch aptamer". Rfam says of the family: Riboswitches are metabolite binding domains within certain messenger RNAs that serve as precision sensors for their corresponding targets. Allosteric rearrangement of mRNA structure is mediated by ligand binding, and this results in modulation of gene expression. This family includes riboswitches that sense lysine in a number of genes involved in lysine metabolism, including lysC. Lineage: Bacteria; Pseudomonadati; Pseudomonadota; Gammaproteobacteria; Vibrionales; Vibrionaceae. The record is from RNAcentral. RNAcentral also lists the same sequence under 1 other name.